AGGGCAUUAUAUUAUUCCCAUUCCCCAACAUCCCGGACAACAAGAGGUCUACACCCACAUGGCUAGGAUUGUGAGGUACCAGGAGUGUUCCUGCUACAAGUGGUUUUUCUGGGGAAUGAAAACUUAAUUUUCUCACAUCUAUGCCGAGCUUCACACUAAGUGUUUAUCAUAGUCUCAGUGUCUAAUCGUGAAGAUUGCACGAGCCUGCCAAUUAAGCCGCUUGGUCACACUGCAAAUGACCCCCGCAGAGGCAUCAUCCGUAGUGGUGGUAUUCUCUCCCAGUGAAAGCUCAUGGUUUAGCCUUCUAACACAAUCAAGAAGCAUCGAUGUCCGCACGAAUAGUUUCCUAGUUGAAGUUGUUGACUCGAAGAUUUACAUCAAUGGUUGUAGCACCAUGUUUGAUUUGUAGUUCGACGAACCAGUGUUGAAGGAAAUGUUGUGCCCACGGCCUCUUCCGGGUUGAUCGAACUGGUUUGGUGAGUUGUGAGAAGGCUGCGAAAAUUGUUGCCCACGAAAAAUAAGGCUGUGAAAUGGGAGAUCCCAUGGCCAAUCCACGUCGACUCUGUCUCUGCUGCUUGGGCAGCCACCACGGCGAGCUUAGGAUGAAAAUGGAAUGAUGCUCCGGAUCGUUCCCAAGUCCAGGUCUUCUAGUGAUAAUUUUCCAUUAGCUCGGCAGAUUUUCCCAUCGGUUCAGAAGUUAGCCUCACAAAACAAAACAACGUACACAUUUAGCAACCAUUUCACCGAAGUACAUUACAGUUUUAUGGUACCAGUUUGACAAAGAAAACGAUUCAGUUUAGCAAAUAAAAUGGCGUGGUUUUAUGGUGGUUUAAACGAUGAAGGGAAAUUUAGAACUUCUAAAAUCCCCCAUUAAGUUAUUUUCCCUUGCCAGUUUUGAUCUCGAGCAUUGGCUUCUGUUAAAACAUUCCACAUUCCUUUGCAGAAAAAAUGUGGAGUUUGCUACGGUGGUCAUCUCUUAACGCUUGCAAUCCACAAAUUGCAGGAUUGAAUGUCGAAACAAGAACAUGAUGAAGAAUUCAACAUAUAAUCAU
This 1052-nucleotide long non-coding RNA is filed under the name Hordeum vulgare. RNAcentral's name for it is "long non-coding RNA (HVUL_LNC013761)". Lineage: Eukaryota; Viridiplantae; Streptophyta; Magnoliopsida; Poales; Poaceae. The record is from RNAcentral.